Alligator mississippiensis (American alligator) is the source of this 6486-nucleotide long non-coding RNA. RefSeq lists it as uncharacterized. Lineage: Eukaryota; Metazoa; Chordata; Crocodylia; Alligatoridae. The transcript has 2 exons. The record is from RefSeq and is a predicted model, not a curated record.
CAAGGGGCCGGGACCAGAGGGGUGCUCUGCGCUCCCCGUGGGGGUGGGCUGUGCACCUCCAGCAUCACGGGAAAUGGGCACCAGCUGGAUUUAGGUGCAGCAAGAUGGGAAGCCAAUGUCUUCCACUGUCCCCUGCUAGCUGAUGGGGAGGGUCCAGGACUUUACUCACCGUGUCCCGGGAGAGUAAUGGAGGAAAGGAGCUACGAUAGUUGUUGGGGGUCUUUACCAUAAGAAGUUAUUUUGCCCAGUUUUCUUGACAACUGUGUAUCCAUUUAGCACUAAUUCAUAUGUGGGGUGUCCAGCACACACCUCUGGUCCUCUCUCAGACUUUCAAAUGCACUUGGGAAAAAUGGUAGCAUGGGCAGAUCUAGGAUCUUGAAAAGGGGGGUGCAGAUGGUAUGGUGCCUCAUCCUAUAUAACACAGCAUAUAUUUUUCUCCAGGUAAAAAAAAAACUAGAAGCUUUACUAACAUACUUGGGGCCCAGGACUGCACUAUUCAGUUUAAGAUUGAAGCAAAAACAUAUAUAACUUUAUUGGGCUGAGUUAAAAACAAUCGGCAGGGCUGCAAAAUAGGAGGUACGUUACCAGGAGCAGCCAACAGACAGCAGAAUUGCAGAAGAAAGGCUGGCUUGAUUAGUGGAGCAUCAAGACCAUGAAAAAGGAGAGAGGUUCAUUAACACCUGUGCGAUGACAAGUGUAGAAGGACUCAGGUAGAUUUUAAUGAGCCAUGAAUUCAGUUGAGGCUCUCCCUGCUGCCUGAACAGAAAUACUGCUGCCAUUGCCAGGCGGUUGGCUUUAAACUUUGGGUGUACCCCUCAGAUGGUUGUUCCCAUCUCAAAAGCUGAAAGAGGCAGGGCUUUGGGGCCACCUGACUGGGAGCCACGGUCUCCUGAAUUUUAGCUGUGCUGAUCACUUUGUUUAGUAUCACUGGGCAAGCCAGGCUACGUCCGACCGGCUGGGAUUCAACUACAUGGUGCCAUCACAUCAAACCUGGCAAGCUAGCUAUGACCCAAGGACCCUAUUCUAGCAUCCUGGCUCUGGCAACGGCUGAUACCAGAUGCAUCCAGGCAAAGACCCAGCAUUAAGCAGCCCCAUACUGUUUGCACCUGACUCCUUCCUGCACUGCUUGUCAAGACUUCUUGGAGAGACAAUAUCCCAGUAUCCCUCAAAACAGCAGUGAAGUCAGGCAGAAUGAACUCCUCCAACUUGGGUAAAGCUCCCUGGUCUGCGACUCGGUGUUUCAGAGGGCGGUGAUGGAUAGAUCAAGCACCAACAUCUCUCGCCAGACUGGCAGGAUAGGAGACUGAGCUGGGUCUAGAACAAGUGGCAUCCCCCGUAAUGGGAUAUGGCUGAGGAGACAGGGAUGUAAUGCACUGACAUGUCCGAGCAAUCAGCCCAUCCCAGUGGCCUGUCCCGGCCAGUGAGCAAUGCCAGAUGCUUUCGAAGGUGGGAAACUCUCGAGCGGUAAGUUAAACCUGUGGAACUCGCUGCCGCUAAAUAUUAACAAGGCAAGGAGUUUUCCAGGAGUAGGAAAGGGCUCGAAUAGUCAGAAGCUAAUGAUAGAAAGGAUCAUCUUGUGGUUAAGGCACUGGACUGGGCCUCAGGAGGGCAGCUCUGCCACAGCCAGCCUGUGUGCAAGUCACUUCAUCUCUCCGUGCCUUAUUUCCCCAACUGUAAAAUGGGCACGAUAACAGUCAUUUUCUUACCUGUGCCUAGUUUGCUUAUAAGCUUCCUAUGACAGCAACUGUUUCUCUGAGCAGUGCCUAGUACAUAACAGCCCCUAGGUUACCUAGGGCCCAUCAGAUGCUAUUGUAAUACAAUAAAACAAGAGGGACAUGAAGACAAAAGCAAAGAUCUGCUGAAAACCAGACUACACCAGGACUCGAAUGCCAGCUGGGAUAUUGCUAACAGUGACUGUAAUGGACUGUCCACAGCUAUUGCUGCUUUAGUCUGUCUUUCAGGCCUAGGGAUGGAGCCCUUCAUUCGACCAUCUACUUCUAAGGUCCUUAUUUGUGCCAGGAGCUAUUAUACCACAGCAGGUUUUUGGUGCACUUCUGCAGCUCCACAUCAGCCAGCAAAGGAAAAUGUCAUGUACAGCAAGGCCACCGAGGCAGAUGCAAUUGCAACAGCUAGAGGCCAGGUGCUUCACCGGGAAGCGGGCUCCAGGAAGAGGUAAAUGAUCCAAGAAUGACACAUCAGUGACCUGAAGGAAACUGCAAGCAGGACAUGUGCCGGGGUAGGGAUGCAAAGAGGCCUUUCACAGCCAUGAAAGCCGGAGCAUGUUUUUCGGAGAACAGGUCAAUCCGGGGCUCUCGCGCCAAAGGCAGGGCUGUGACCUGCUGCUGAGGAGUGAGAGGACCCAACACAGGAUGGAUCACUCUGUCCGGCUUUUUUCUGCUCUUCCUUGGAAGUGAGGCAGCCCAACCUAUUUGACCCUGAGGGCCAGGUCCAGACCGUGCAUGGGGCUUCUUCUGGGAUGGACAACUUCUCUUCAGUGGCAGGGCAGUGGCUUGUUGGCGUGGCUCCGGAUCCCAAGUUGUGAAGGUCACCGCCACUCAACUUCCUCGCUGUCUUCCCCUGACACGAAUUUGAGUCACCAGCAGAUCCAGGAUUUUGCAAGGGGGGUGGAGGUGCGGAAGCAGCAAUCGGUGCUGCAGAGGUGCUCCACUCCCAGCCUCCACACCAUCCCGAGGCAGCACCGUGCCACGGGAGCAGAAGAUGGGGACUUGUUUAAGUCCCCAAAGCAGACCACAUGCCCCCAGAUAAGACACGCACCUCGCUGUGGGAAGGAAGAAGAAUACAUGUUUCCCAAGUCCUGGCUGCGUCCUGACCUCAGAGGCAGAGGACAAUCUGGAGCAUCAACAAAAGCUAACGUUUUAAACCUUUCACAGCCACUGCUGAUUUGGCAGCAGCUUUUGGCUGCUGAGCCAGAAGCUGCUGUCAAUUUGACAAUGAACCUAACCCCUAACAGUGAACUCCACCCUUCCCUCCCUAGGGCCAAGGUGAGAAGCAUGGUAGCCGUUACAGCUCUCCAGGUCUCUUCCAUUCCAGUGCAAAAAAAUCAGCUUCUCCACAUAGGGCACGCACACCAGGUUUGGAGGGCUGAUUUUUGAGGAAAAGGCAAGGGCGGUGUGUGAGUAAUUUGCAUUGUACAUUGGUAAUAUAUGCAUUCUUUCGCCUAUACAUGUACACGCCCACCAGAGUUUUAUCCCUAAGCAUAAUGCUUUUUUGAAUGCUUCAGGGAAAGCUCUUUAAACAAUGAUGUUUACAAAUACCAUUAGAAGUGCCGUUUGCAUUCGAUGUGGAUCUGAGUGCGUCUGUAGGAUAAAUGGGAGCUAAUAGGAUCCCUGGUUCAUUACCUCUGCAACAAGCAAACAAAUGAAAGACGCGGCAGUUCCUGGUUUACAAGAAGCGCCGUUGAAUUAAGACAUUAUCGGUGAAUUGGAACGUACUGGACAAUGCAGGGUUGCAGUCCGGCAGAGGUAAACCUGGGAAUAAGUGGGAACUGCAAGAUGUACUGAUAGCUGAGAUGGGGCUGUUUGAUUGGUUUUACUCCUGCUCGGGGUGGGCUGCUGUGUUAGAGAUCGUUGCCCUUUUUUUAAUGAGAGGCAAUUAGCCAUGUUAGUCUGAUGUUAAGCAGAAGGCAGGGCAAGGUGGCACCUUAUAGACUAAACUGCAUGAGUUAGUCCAGGGGUCACUGAUGAGUUGUCGUGGGCUGGGUCAGCAACCCCUGCCCCACAAUAGCUCACCAAAGCUCCCUAAGUGGCUCUGGUCUGUGCUGGGCUGGGCAGCUGGGAUGGAGCAGCAUCCAGGAGUGGAAGGGGCAGGUGGAGCCGUGACAGUGCGGGGCUGGGGCCUGGGGCAGAGCCACGAUCCGCUCCCUGCAUGCCCCUGCGACGAGUGCCAGUUCCACGGGUAGGGGCCUAUGGAGAGAGGAUCACAGCUCUGCCCUGGGCCCUGGCCCUGUGCUGCCACCGCCAUGUGAUCCCGGCCUCACCUACCUGUCCUGCUCCUGGAUGCUAGUCCCCAGCCGCCCGCAGCCUCAUCCCAUAUGCCCAGCCACGUGCUCUGCAUGCACGAGUCCUGCUUCUGGCAGUGGGUGCAGGGCAGAUGUGCCAGGGUGCAGGGUCCAGUGGCAGUGGCAGCUGGAAGGGACAGCUGCCAUACUACUCCUGCCCCACACCAUGCCUAAGGGUGGCAGGACCAGCUGUGCACCCCACAGCCCAGGCUGCCUUCUGCGCCUAGGCCAGGUAGGACCGAGGGACCUGCUAUGGACUAUACAAAAUCCCUCAUCUGGCCCAUGGGCCAUGUUAUGCCCACCCCUGACUUAGUCUUCAUGGUGCCAUCCUGCCCCACCUUCUUUCUCAGUAAUGUUAGGCUAAAAGGUCUUGGGACCCAAUCAGCCAUAAAGCCAAUGGAUGCGCUAACAGGAGGAGUCAAGCUCCUUUAUACAGUGAAGACAGCCGCAAACAGCAUGCUACUUCUCAAGUACUAGGUCUCCUGGUAGGUCAUAAGUUAACUGCAGAGUUCCUCCAAUUGCAAACAAAGUGGGGUGAGUAUAUUGAUUCGCAACCUGUGUGUGUGUGUGUGUGUGUGUGUGUGUGUGUGUGUGUGUGUGACCUUGAGAGGAACCAGAGAGAGGAUGCUUCUUGGGCACAGAGCCCACAGGAGUGGCAGGCUGGGGAUUUUUGAGCAAUGAAACUUCUGGCCAUUUUUUAUGCCCAUUGUUUUCCAAGAAACAGGACUUUAUGCACAACUGAUUGUUAUAAACCAGCAAGAUGACACCAAAGAUAUGCUUGAUUCUUAGCAAUGAGUCCUCACAGAAACUGCCUAGUAACAUCCCAAAUAUUAGCUAAUUGCCCAGGUCUGAGGGAUAACCAUUUCUUUGGGUGGCAUUCAGUGAAGUUAAUGGGAGUUUUGCCCUUAGUUUAAAAAAUAUUUGGUUUUCGUCCUUUGGUUUCUAUUUUAAAAUAAUAGUCAAGGCACAGGUUUCAAAGCGCUCAGCAUCCCAGCUGGGACAGAAGAACCUGGCUCCAUUUGAGCACCAGAGCCUGUCUUUAGGUAUCACAAGGAGAGCAGCUGGAUGCUGUGCGUGUCUGAACACCUAUGUAGCUAUGGGGCACUUCGAAGUCUGGCCCUCAAAUUGUUUGAAAAUCUGGAGUGACAAGUUUGCCCUGUCGUAGUCCCCUGAAAAUUUCCCUUUGGCAUCAGUGGGAUGAGGAUUUUACCGCUGGCUUCCGGAAGUGAAGGAAGUGCCUGUUUGCAUCAACUAACUGCAAUGAGUAGGAAUAUAGCACUACAAGGGAUCUCCUGGGUCACUGAAUCUGGUCCUCUGCUACCAGGAGCCACCACGUCAGAUAAUCCCUUCCAUAAAUCAGUCAAGCUCCCUCUGAAAAGUGCUAUGCUUUGUGUAAAACACAUCUUGCAGUUCCAUAAUUCUCUCCCAACAAAGAGGCUUGAUAUACAGCUGCCUAGCUAUCCCUCUGGGCUCUGAGAAGCACACUGGUCAGCUUGAACAUCGAUAUUCUCCAGGCUGUAGUAGAUCUGAGGAAAGGCACUUUGUCCCAGAAAGCUGGUCUAACUUCUCCUCCACUGAUGCAGUUGGUCCAGUAAAAGAUAUCACCAAAAACCCACUUGCUUCUUGAACAUCCACAGCAUUAAGAGAUCCCUUAGGCCACAUCAGACUCUUGCAGCUGUGUAGACCUGUCCGUGUCAGAGGAUCCGCUUGGUGAAAUAAAUGCAACCCCAAUAAAUGCAACCCAAAUAAAGUCAAGUUGCAUGAGCAGGCUGCGAUGCUUACUGUGGGGUUGUCACUCUGUGGCACGCAUGCCAAAAGUGGCACGGGCGGCAGAUCACAGAGCCCAGCAGCUUAUCAGCGGAAAGUGGAGUAGCAGAUUGGGCAGGGAGCACAGGGAGGGAGCAGAAAGCAGAGCAGCAGAUUGGGCAGGAGGUUGAAGUAGCACUUGGGGAGGGCACGGGGCUUAAUUUGUGGCCUGCUUGCCAAAAAGAUUGGCUCCUGCUGCUCUUACUGAUGUUUGUGAGCUCUUAUCUCCCUGAUGUCAGGGUGAGGAAGGAGUCUGGGCAGGCCCUCCUGGUGCACCAGCUGGGCUGAUGAGGGUAAAACGCUAUAACAGCUUUGUUCCUUAUCACAGAAGUCGGCAGAUCUGACUGCAGCGCGACCAGCUCAUCUCUUGCUGAAAUCCUGGUGACACUCCCAUUGCUUGAGCAGAACCAGGACGUUGUCACAUCCGGAGCUGUCUAUGCAGGACUCUCAGUCAGGUUGAUGUGAAUUAACUCUUAAAGGGGAGUAGUAACCGCCCCGUGGACACUCUUACUCUGAGUUAACGUAAGGUUACAGUUUCAAAGAAGAGGGGGGAUACGAUUGUGUGGGGCAGGGAUAUGCUAGUGCCCUGCCGCAACCCCUCUGCCCUGCUGCAGCCCCAGCACCCAGACAGCUUUCCCCAGUGCUGGCAGACACCUGCCCCC